Molecule: ribosomal RNA, 460 nt
Filed under: uncultured bacterium
Lineage: Bacteria
Description: partial 16S ribosomal RNA
Rfam family: Bacterial small subunit ribosomal RNA
Source: RNAcentral
CCUACGGGAGGCAGCAGUGAGGAAUAUUGGUCAAUGGACGAGAGUCUGAACCAGCCAAGUAGCGUGAAGGAUGACUGCCCUAUGGGUUGUAAACUUCUUUUAUAUGGGAAUAAACUGUUCCACGUGUGGGAUUUUGUAUGUACCAUAUGAAUAAGGAUCGGCUAACUCCGUGCCAGCAGCCGCGGUAAUACGGAGGAUCCGAGCGUUAUCCGGAUUUAUUGGGUUUAAAGGGAGCGUAGGUGGAUUGUUAAGUCAGUUGUGAAAGUUUGCGGCUCAACCGUAAAAUUGCAGUUGAAACUGGCAGGCUUGAGUACAGGAGAGGUGGGCGGAAUUCGUGGUGUAGCGGUGAAAUGCUUAGAUAUCACGAAGAACUCCGAUUGCGAAGGCAGCUCACUGGACUGCAACUGACACUGAGGCUCGAAAGUGUGGGUAUCAAACAGGAUUAGAUACCCGAGUAGUC